Molecule: long non-coding RNA, 652 nt
Filed under: Olea europaea subsp. europaea
Lineage: Eukaryota; Viridiplantae; Streptophyta; Magnoliopsida; Lamiales; Oleaceae
Source: RNAcentral
GAGAGAGAGAGAGAGAGAGAGAGAGAGAGAGAGACUUCAACCAACUUGUUGCAUCUAUCCCUCACAAAUGAUAUUCAUCUAAAAACUAUAAUUAAUUUCGGCUAUGUAACAGCAAAUCACUUGAUGUCCAAUCUUCAAUAUAUUCCCUACUUUCAUCCAUCGGACCCUCUCUGUUUGGGCAUUUUUGCUGCCAAAUAACCUAAGGGGGCAAUGAUGAUAAAUAGUGACGCGUUAAGCUUCGCCUCAGCUUGCGAUUGAAGAGAUAAACAAUACCUAACUCGCCAUUUGGCUCAAGUAGUACCAGCCCCUUAAUUAAUGAAUCACAGUUGACCAUUAUAGUUCAACUACUCACUGGAUGAACUCGUCCCUAUCGGUACACCACGAGCUUGCCAUUGUGUAGUGGAAUACAUCUUCAAUUCAUGGAUUUCAGGCUCAAAUUAAACUUACCAAUCAAUAUAUCAAUCAACCAAUCAAACAUCAACAUACAACUAGAUCACUUAUGGUUACAUUCCUCUUCUCACCUACAAACGGACAACAAUAUGGUGGUAUUUUGCAAACCACAAAGGCAAAGAGAAGACAAGAAGAAGGCAAGAACUUGAACAAGAUCACAAGAAGACGGCCGUUUUCUCUCUUCUCAAGCAAAGGCAAAAAC